This 117-nucleotide ribosomal RNA is filed under the name Pelodiscus sinensis (Chinese soft-shelled turtle). Lineage: Eukaryota; Metazoa; Chordata; Testudines; Trionychidae. The record is from RNAcentral.
CAAAGUCAUUCUACCCUUAAAGCUCCUCAUCUCACUUGAUCUUCUCAGCUACGCAAAGUUGGGGACGGUUAGUACUUGGAUAGGAGACCGCAUGGGAAUAAUACAUUAUGGCUGUGU